RNAcentral lists this unclassified non-coding RNA (223 nucleotides) under Hevea brasiliensis (rubber tree). The record is from RNAcentral. Lineage: Eukaryota; Viridiplantae; Streptophyta; Magnoliopsida; Malpighiales; Euphorbiaceae.
AUACACAAUCCCAAAAAAAAAAAAUAAAAAGAAUUUCUUAAAUCAAGUGAAUCAAUUGCAUAAACCAACAAUACCAAUCAUUUCAGAAAUCAAUAACUAUACAUCGAAAUCGAUAGAUCGAACUCAAAAUUAAUUAUAAAAAUUUAAACAAAAUUGAAAGAUCUGCCUGCUAUGAGCUGGAAAUUAAGAGAGAGAUUACCACUUUUGAAGAAGUAUGUGACGU